CGGGUCAUGGCCGGGGACUCUAGCGGAACUGCCAGCGUAAGCUGCGAGGAAGGGUGGGGAUGACGUACAAAUCAGCACCGGCCCUUACGUCCGAGGGCUACACACGUGUUACAAUGGCCGGUACAGGAGGGCAGCCCACCCCGCGGAGGGGGCGCGAAUCCCGAAAGCCGGUCCCAGUUCGGAUCGGAGUCUGCAACCCGACUCCGUGAAGCUGGAUUCGCUAGUAAUCGCGCAUCAGCCACGGCGCGGUGAAUACGUUCCCGGGCCUU
RNAcentral lists this ribosomal RNA (269 nucleotides) under uncultured Rikenellaceae bacterium. RNAcentral's name for it is "partial 16S ribosomal RNA". It matches the Rfam family "Bacterial small subunit ribosomal RNA", at positions 1122 to 1382 of the family's 1533-position model. The record is from RNAcentral. Lineage: Bacteria; Pseudomonadati; Bacteroidota; Bacteroidia; Bacteroidales; Rikenellaceae.